CAUUCAGUUUCUUGCAUGCGGUAGAGAAGGGAAUCACCGUUGUUUUCUCGGCUGGCAAUGAUGGACCAAGGCCACAAAGUAUAUCAAUUGAAUCUCCAUAGGUCAUCACAGUGGCAGCGAGUACGAUAGACCGAUCCUUCCCUGCUUCAAUCACGCUGGGAAAUAAUGUCUCGAUUACGGGUCAACGAGUUAUCGGUUUGCCAAGGCGCCAAGAUGGAUUCAAACCACUAUUUCUCUCAUCCAAUGAUCAAAGCUGCAAUGGUCCUUUAGAUGCCACCUUAGUGGCAGGAAAAGUAGUACUCUGUUUCACAGCACUCCAAUGGUAAAGAUGGGCCUUGCAACUACUGUUAUGGGAUCCUCAGUGUUAGCACCAAAGAUCGCAUCUUUCUCAUCUAGGGGGCUCAGCCCUUUCAACCCAACAAUUCUAAAGAUAUUUUUAUCCAAAUUUCACUAAGGAUGAGAGAGAAAAUAUACAAAUAAUCUUUGAAAGAAAAAAGUCUUAAACUAGGUUGAAUGGUUAAAACAUGAGGCUCAUGUUUCAAUUGUCAUAUGUUAAAUGGAGUUCCUCAUUUAAUGUAAGCUACCAACCUUUUUUCUUAAGAAUUUGAAGGUUGCUUAUUAAGUGGUCAGGAUUUUUCAAUAAGUGUUAAUUUUUGAACUUUGCGCCAUCAUCCAAUAUAACCAUAUGGGCUAACCAAGUGUUUACGAAGAUGAGGAUGGAUCAUAAACCAACCUCCAACCACCUAAUUUAGUAAUGUAAUCACAUGGUUUGUCACAAAAUCUGUUGUUAUAAAUUUCUUUUUUGCAACAUCUAUUAUUCAUAAUCGGAUGAUUUGGAAUGAUCAUUUGUCAACCGUACCAAUGAUGUACACAAUACAGAAAGAUCAUAUUAGUCAUGAUAAUUAUAACAAUUUUUAUCAAUGGGCUUCUCUCCAUUUAAUGUGGAAUGUCAACCAUCAAUUAUGUUUAAAUGUUACAAUCAAAGAGCUAAGAUUUUCUUAUUACUGCCUAAUUUUUUGGCUUGGCUAUCCAUCGAAAUAUCAUAGACGCAUAUACCUUACCCGCAUGUGCAUGCCUACAGCACACACAAGCAUUUCAUAUUUCAACAUUCUACUUACUUGAGAAAGAAGAUAUGCUUACGCGAACAUCUCUAACAGCCUGGUGUAGCUGCACCUGGCGUCAACAUCUUAGCAGCCGUCAACGACGGCUAUGAAUUCCAAUCAGGAACAUUGAUGUCAUGUCCACAUGUUGCGGGAAUCACUGCCCUUCUAAAAUCUCUACAUCCUAAUUGGUCUACUGCGGCUACAAAAUCUGCACUCGUUACUACAGCUUCCAUCACCGACGAAUAUGGCCUACCAAUAACUACUAAGGGUGCUCCACGAAAGCUCGCUGACCCGUUCGACUAUGGUGGGGGCCAUGUCAGCCCAAUAGAACCGUAGAUCCUAGUUUAAUUUAUGACAUAGAUGUGGCUGACUACUUCAAUUGGGUCAAUGGAUUCAUAUCAGACCUUAAUUUACCAUCAAUUUCAAUCCUCAGUCUUAAAACGAUUGUAACGGUCUCAAGGACAGUCACAAAUGUGGGACCCAUCAACUCCACAUACAUAGCUACGAUUCAAUCUCCCCCAGGUGUUAAGAUGGAUGUGACACCUUCAAUCCUUAUCUUCAAUAACACUGUCACCAAACAUUCGUUUAAGAUUACAUUCUCAACUAUUCGAAGAGUGCAAGGAGAUUACACCUUCGGCAGCCUGAUUUGGAGUGAUUACAAGCACUUAGUAAAGAUUCUCAUUGCCAUUAGGACCGUGAUUUAAGACUUAUAUGCAGAUGUCUCGUUGUGAUUUUCAAUAUAUAUAAAUUUAUCAU
Molecule: long non-coding RNA, 1859 nt
Organism: Magnolia sinica
Lineage: Eukaryota; Viridiplantae; Streptophyta; Magnoliopsida; Magnoliales; Magnoliaceae
Exons: 5
Source: RefSeq, a predicted model, not a curated record